AGAGUUUGAUCCUGGCUCAGGACGAACGCUGGCGGCACGCUUAACACAUGCAAGUCGAACGAGAGAAGAGGAGCUUGCUUUUCUGAUCUAGUGGCGGACGGGUGAGUAACACGUGAGCAAUCUGCCUUUCAGAGGGGGAUACCGAUUGGAAACGAUCGUUAAUACCGCAUAACAUAAUUGAACCGCAUGAUUUGAUUAUCAAAGAUUUAUCGCUGAAAGAUGAGCUCGCGUCUGAUUAGCUAGUUGGUAAGGUAACGGCUUACCAAGGCGACGAUCAGUAGCCGGACUGAGAGGUUGAUCGGCCACAUUGGGACUGAGACACGGCCCAGACUCCUACGGGAGGCAGCAGUGGGGAAUAUUGCACAAUGGAGGAAACUCUGAUGCAGCGAUGCCGCGUGAGGGAAGAAGGUUUUAGGAUUGUAAACCUCUGUCUUCAGGGACGAAAAAAGACGGUACCUGAGGAGGAAGCUCCGGCUAACUACGUGCCAGCAGCCGCGGUAAUACGUAGGGAGCGAGCGUUGUCCGGAAUUACUGGGUGUAAAGGGAGCGUAGGCGGGAUCGCAAGUCAGAUGUGAAAACUAUGGGCUUAACCCAUAAACUGCAUUUGAAACUGUGGUUCUUGAGUGAAGUAGAGGUAAGCGGAAUUCCUAGUGUAGCGGUGAAAUGCGUAGAUAUUAGGAGGAACAUCAGUGGCGAAGGCGGCUUACUGGGCUUUAACUGACGCUGAGGCUCGAAAGCGUGGGGAGCAAACAGGAUUAGAUACCCUGGUAGUCCACGCCGUAAACGAUGAUUACUAGGUGUGGGGGGACUGACCCCUUCCGUGCCGCAGCAAACGCAAUAAGUAAUCCACCUGGGGAGUACGACCGCAAGGUUGAAACUCAAAGGAAUUGACGGGGGCCCGCACAAGCAGUGGAGUAUGUGGAUUAAUUCGAAGCAACGCGAAGAACCUUACCAGGUCUUGACAUCGUAUGCAUAGCUCAGAGAUGAGUGAAAUCUCCUCGGAGACAUAUAGACAGGUGGUGCAUGGUUGUCGUCAGCUCGUGUCGUGAGAUGUUGGGUUAAGUCCCGCAACGAGCGCAACCCUUACUGUUAGUUGCUACGCAAGAGCACUCUAGCAGGACUGCCGUUGACAAAACGGAGGAAGGUGGGGAUGACGUCAAAUCAUCAUGCCCCUUAUGACCUGGGCCUCACACGUACUACAAUGGCUGUCAACAGAGGGAAGCAAAGCCGCGAGGUGGAGCGAACCCCUAAAAGCAGUCUUAGUUCGGAUUGUAGGCUGCAACCCGCCUACAUGAAGUCGGAAUUGCUAGUAAUCGCAGAUCAGCAUGCUGCGGUGAAUACGUUCCCGGGCCUUGUACACACCGCCCGUCACGCCAUGGGAGUCGGUAACACCCGAAGCCUGUAGUCUAACCGCAAGGAGGACGCAGUCGAAGGUGGGAUUGAUGACUGGGGUGAAGUCGUAACAAGGUA
Molecule: ribosomal RNA, 1470 nt
Filed under: metagenome
Description: bacterial SSU rRNA
Rfam family: Bacterial small subunit ribosomal RNA
Source: RNAcentral